AACGCACAUUGCGCCCCUUGGUAUUCCAUGGGGCAUGCCUGUUCGAGCGUCAUUGACACCCUCAAGCUCUGCUUGGUGUUGGGUUGUUGUCGUUUCCUCGCCCCCCAGCGACACAGCGACACCCCUCAAAGUCAUUGGCGGCCUUUCUGCCCAGCUUCCCGCGCAGCAGUUCGCGCUUCGGAGACCACUUGGCAGGCUGGCAUCCAUCAAGCUGACCCCUUCAUGCUUGACCUCGGAUCAGGUAGGGAUACCCGCUGAACUUAA
RNAcentral lists this unclassified non-coding RNA (264 nucleotides) under uncultured Pleosporales. RNAcentral's name for it is "sequence contains 5.8S rRNA gene, ITS2, 28S rRNA gene". The record is from RNAcentral. Lineage: Eukaryota; Fungi; Ascomycota; Dothideomycetes; Pleosporales.